This 440-nucleotide ribosomal RNA is filed under the name Bacillus paralicheniformis. Its description in RNAcentral is "bacterial SSU rRNA". It matches the Rfam family "Bacterial small subunit ribosomal RNA", at positions 338 to 795 of the family's 1533-position model. The record is from RNAcentral. Lineage: Bacteria; Bacillati; Bacillota; Bacilli; Caryophanales; Bacillaceae.
CCUACGGGUGGCAGCAGUGGGGAAUAUUGGACAAUGGGCGCAAGCCUGAUCCAGCCAUGCCGCGUGAGUGAUGAAGGCCUUAGGGUUGUAAAGCUCUUUCGCGCGCGACGAUAAUGACGGUAGCGCGAGAAGAAGCCCCGGCUAACUUCGUGCCAGCAGCCGCGGUAAUACGAGGGGGGCAAAUGUUGUUCGGAAUCACUGGGCGUAAAGGGAGCGUAGGCGGGUUUCUAAGUAAGGUGUUUAAUCCCGGGGCCCAACCCCGGACAGGCACUUUAAACUGGAAGUCUUGAAUAGUGGAGAGGUCAGUGGAAUUGGGGGUGUAGCGGUGGAAUGCGUAGAGAUCCCCAAGAACACCAGUUGCGAAGGCGGCUGACUGGACACAUAUUGACGCUGAGGCUCGAAAGCAUGGGGAGCAAACAGGAUUAGAUACCCCUGUAGUC